GAGUUUGAUCUUGGCUCAGGAUGAACGCUGGCGGCGUGCUUAACACAUGCAAGUCGAGCGAAGCGAUUUCAAGGAAGUUUUCGGACGGAAUUGAAAUUGACUGAGCGGCGGACGGGUGAGUAACGCGUGGGUAACCUGCCUCAUACAGGGGGAUAACAGUUGGAAACGACUGCUAAUACCGCAUAAGCACACAGUGCCGCAUGGUACGGUGUGAAAAACUCCGGUGGUAUGAGAUGGACCCGCGUCUGAUUAGGUAGUUGGUGAGGUAACGGCCCACCAAGCCGACGAUCAGUAGCCGACCUGAGAGGGUGACCGGCCACAUUGGGACUGAGACACGGCCCAAAUCCCUACGGGAGGCAGCAGUGGGGAAUAUUGGACAAUGGGGGAAACCCUGAUCCAGCGACGCCGCGUGAGUGAAGAAGUAUUUCGGUAUGUAAAGCUACUAUCAGCAGGGAAGAAAUGACGGUACCUGACUAAGAAGCCCCGG
RNAcentral lists this ribosomal RNA (487 nucleotides) under bacterium enrichment culture clone ALO1_GLFRUDD03GM6PG. RNAcentral's name for it is "bacterial SSU rRNA". It matches the Rfam family "Bacterial small subunit ribosomal RNA", at positions 9 to 496 of the family's 1533-position model. The record is from RNAcentral.